CCUCCUUCUCUCGCACGAACCUUCUGAGUCGCGGUGAGCUUUGAGGCAUGCGCUAAGGGGAAAGGUUGCCUUUUCCCUGAACUGUGGCAAUUCCAGUUAUGGAUGAGGAGCGAAAACAACAAAUAUGAGCUUCCCAGUCUCCAUCGAAGAGGCGGUUCCCCCCAGACACAAGUGUGCUAGAAAGGAUUUAUUACUGCACAUGCCCAGUGAUUAAUAGGCAGAUACGUCAGAUGUCUCAAUGUUUGUUGUCCUGCACAAAAGGCGGAUGGACACAUUUGGUCUGGGGAAAUUGAUGAAUCAGCUGAAAGCCCCCAGCAGGAGACCAGAAACAUCAGCGGUUCAAAACAGGCCAGAUGACCUCCUUCAAACACACACCUAAACCAUUCUCAGGGCCUCUACUGUGAGCCUCAGACACACAUGAGAGACCCUGGGUCUCUCCGUGUGAUCUAUGUCAGUCAUCUUAGGGGUGUAUCGACCACUGGCGAUGUUUCCACUUACUCCUCUUUAGAAUGAAAGAGAGUUCACAAAGGCUACUGUGUCAUGAAGCAUAAGGGAACCGGGAGGUUGGGUGAUUCACCUGCUUGGAGAUGUUGGGAAGGAAAACAAAAUGGCAACAAUUAGAAAAAGUGACUGUGUACCUACUCCGUUGAUUACUCCUCUUGAGAUCGAUAGAUACCUAUACGCAUAUACACAGACGUACAUGCAUAUAUAGACAUACGCGCACACGUCUGUCUGUGUGCACGUCGUAUGGGAAACUACGUACAGACCGGCGGUGGAGGCAUUAAUUUGCGUUCAGAAGAAAACACUGAAUCUCAGAGGUUAGGAAACUUGCUCGUUGACACAGACUCUGUAAAUGACAAAUCUCAUGACUUGGGGCACGUCUCGAACUGUUCUGAGCCUUAGCUGAAAUGAAAAUCGAUGCUUGCCACCGGGAAUCCUUGAAACACUGUACCUGAGACCACCUCUGGGCCUGACACGAAGCAGCGGGUCGUUACACGUAUGUUGCGAUAAAUUUGGCCCCGGGGACCGCCAGGUGCCAUCUCCAGGCGGAUGGACCCUGGAGGAGCCGAAAAGCCACUCCCUGUUUAACUCUGGGGCCGCCGUAAAGGUGACUGUGCGCACUACUGGAAUGGAUUCUCUGUGAUACGAGCAGAAGUCAGAAUACAGCAUGCCACCCUCAUUACGCUUUAAUUGAACUACAAUGUACAUCACCGCUUGGCAUAGGCCCUUUGAAGUGCGGGCAUCACCACCCUGCCUCAUGGGAACGUGCGCCGUUACCACCAGCGUAACUGUUGAGCAACUGACGCAUUCCCAGCACCGAUAUUUCAGCAGGUAGGGAAGAUAAUUAGGAGAAGAUUUUGAUCUUGCUGACUUGUGGUGAAAAGCAGGGUAUCGAGGCAUAUGAAUACAGACACAAUCAAGUCAUAUUAAAGUCUACCAUGAAAGCUCCCUCUAAUAUGCAGGACGAAAAAGCAGUAAAAACAAAGCUAUUUCCAGUCUGAAGAGGGGCAAAUGCUACCCUUUGAUCCCUGACAUCAUAUGACAGGGAAACAAAGCACGCAGACAAAUCACCCUGUAUGGUAAUCCUCCUCCUUUGAAAUUUUGUGUGUGGCAACCAAAUAAGUCGCUGCUGCUUUAAAAAGUGCAUCCACUUCGUUCAUGCAACAAACGUUUGCCAAAUGACUAACCCGUGCCAGGCACCGUGUUAGGCCCGUGGACCUUUGCGGGCAACUGGUCACAGUAGACUGGGAAAGAUGGAAACAUUUUUUUCAGAUGAUUACAGCACAGCGUGUUAAGCAUCAAGCAAGGUUAGCGAGGGUGCCUUUGAAGCAAAGGAGGGGAGCACUGUGAUAGACCGGUAGAGGGAGGGCAGGUGCAUGUUGAAGUCAAGGGUGGCUUCCUGGAGGAGGAGGCAUUUGAUGACCAAAUAGGAUUCAGCUGUGUUAAAGGGGAAUGGCUGUUUCCACAGGGCAAGAGCUUGUGGAAAGGCACAGAGGCAUAAGGAAACCCAAGGAACAGCAGGAAGUUUAAUUCACUGCCGUUUUGAUGUAAGUGGUAGGGCCGUGUGGGAAAUGAGGACAAAUGAGGCCAGAACACUGAUGUGUGCUCUGCCAUGGGAUUUGUUCUUUAGCCUCAGGGAACUGCAACAUCUCUGGGUGGAUUUUUAGAAUCAAGCGUCUAUCUUCGAAGAUCGCCAGAAUGGAUGAUGAAUUACACCCAAGGGGAAGGCUUGGAAAGCAGGAACUCAGCUAGGAGGCUGUUGUGAUCACCAGGAGAGGAUUCCUAAAGAUCUAGACUGAGAUGCUGGGAGGGGCAGUGGCAAUGAAAGAGGCAGCUAGAGGACCAUCUCUCUUCUUAGAGGAUGAACUCAGAGCAGCCUGAACUGAGAGCUAAGACUGUAUUUUAAGCAAACAAUCGAAGCUCGUAUUUAAUGAAACUGUUCAUUAAGACCACCUUGGUUUAAUAUAUGGGAUAUAUGCGUUCUUGAAAAAAUUCUCCAUGUAGAUUAGAUUCUCAUAAAGUAAAUCACAGCUGAAUGUGUCAGAAGGGCUCGUUAUUUAAUACACUCUUAUUCUGAAUGAUUAGAAUAUAAAUAAUCACCUUCUAGCUUAUUUGCUUAUUUAAUUUGAGUUUUCAUGUUUUGGAUAGCUCAAAGCAUGUUUCAUAUGCCUUUUCCACCAGUUCCAUUUUAUUUGGUCAAAUGAUAUACUUUGUAAUAACGUAUAGAUAGUUCUCAUCAACUAUAGGAGUGUUUAUCCACAUUGCUUCAAUUCCAGCAAGGUUCUGGUUAAUUUUAGUUGUUUACCUAUAAACUCAAGUUAAUAUGAAUGAACCAUUUACUAUGAGAUUAUUUGUGAACGGCAUGAAAGUGUUUUUGACGGAAUUAUGGAAGGACGGAUGCACCAAUAAGAAAACAGUGACUCCUUAGUGGAUAGAUGGGGAGAUGUGGAAUUCGUAGACUCUUACACCUUCAAUAAACCCUGAAUAGUAAAGUCAUGUGGGGAAAUUGAGGCUCAGAAAGACUAAAAAACUGAGCCACAGAAACCAGCUGGAUCACUUUAUAAACAAUUUAAUGCCACUUACAUCGUACAGAUAAUAGAUAGACUUGGAUAAAUAGACAAAUACUAAAAUAAUCGUGUACUUCUAGAGCAAACCA
Molecule: long non-coding RNA, 3157 nt
Organism: Felis catus (domestic cat)
Lineage: Eukaryota; Metazoa; Chordata; Mammalia; Carnivora; Felidae
Exons: 3
Source: RefSeq, a predicted model, not a curated record